GAUGAACGCUGGCGGCGUGCCUAAUACAUGCAAGUCGAGCGAACGGACGAGAAGCUUGCUUCUCUGAUGUUAGCGGCGGACGGGUGAGUAACACGUGGAUAACCUACCUAUAAGACUGGGAUAACUUCGGGAAACCGGAGCUAAUACCGGAUAAUAUUUUGAACCGCAUGGUUCAAAAGUGAAAGACGGUCUUGCUGUCACUUAUAGAUGGAUCCGCGCUGCAUUAGCUAGUUGGUAAGGUAACGGCUUACCAAGGCAACGAUGCAUAGCCGACCUGAGAGGGUGAUUGGCCACACUGGAACUGAGACACGGUCCAGACUCCUACGGGAGGCAGCAGUAGGGAAUCUUCCGCAAUGGGCGAAAGCCUGACGGAGCAACGCCGCGUGAGUGAUGAAGGUCUUCGGAUCGUAAAACUCUGUUAUUAGGGAAGAACAUAUGUGUAAGUAACUGUGCACAUCUUGACGGUACCUAAUCAGAAAGCCACGGCUAACUACGUGCCAGCAGCCGCGGUAAUACGUAGGUGGCAAGCGUUAUCCGGAAUUAUUGGGCGUAAAGCGCGCGUAGGCGGUUUUUUAGUCUGAUGUGAAAGCCCACGGCUCAACCGUGGAGGGUCAUUGGAAACUGGAAAACUUGAGUGCAGAAGAGGAAAGUGGAAUUCCAUGUGUAGCGGUGAAAUGCGCAGAGAUAUGGAGGAACACCAGUGGCGAAGGCGACUUUCUGGUCUGUAACUGACGCUGAUGUGCGAAAGCGUGGGGAUCAAACAGGAUUAGAUACCCUGGUAGUCCACGCCGUAAACGAUGAGUGCUAAGUGUUAGGGGGUUUCCGCCCCUUAGUGCUGCAGCUAACGCAUUAAGCACUCCGCCUGGGGAGUACGACCGCAAGGUUGAAACUCAAAGGAAUUGACGGGGACCCGCACAAGCGGUGGAGCAUGUGGUUUAAUUCGAAGCAACGCGAAGAACCUUACCAAAUCUUGACAUCCUUUGACAACUCUAGAGAUAGAGCCUUCCCCUUCGGGGGACAAAGUGACAGGUGGUGCAUGGUUGUCGUCAGCUCGUGUCGUGAGAUGUUGGGUUAAGUCCCGCAACGAGCGCAACCCUUAAGCUUAGUUGCCAUCAUUAAGUUGGGCACUCUAAGUUGACUGCCGGUGACAAACCGGAGGAAGGUGGGGAUGACGUCAAAUCAUCAUGCCCCUUAUGAUUUGGGCUACACACGUGCUACAAUGGACAAUACAAAGGGCAGCGAAACCGCGAGGUCAAGCAAAUCCCAUAAAGUUGUUCUCAGUUCGGAUUGUAGUCUGCAACUCGACUACAUGAAGCUGGAAUCGCUAGUAAUCGUAGAUCAGCAUGCUACGGUGAAUACGUUCCCGGGUCU
Molecule: ribosomal RNA, 1371 nt
Filed under: uncultured bacterium
Lineage: Bacteria
Description: bacterial SSU rRNA
Rfam family: Bacterial small subunit ribosomal RNA
Source: RNAcentral